GACGAACGCUGGCGGCGUGCUUAACACAUGCAAGUCGAACGGAAAGGCCCUGCUUUUGUGGGGUGCUCGAGUGGCGAACGGGUGAGUAACACGUGAGUAACCUGCCCUUGACUUUGGGAUAACUUCAGGAAACUGGGGCUAAUACCGGAUAGGAGCUCCUGCUGCACGGUGGGGGUUGGAAAGAUUCGGCGGUUUGGGAUGGACUCGCGGCUUAUCAGCUUGAUUGUGGGGUAGUGGCUGACAAAGGCUUUGACGGGUAGCCGGCCUGAGAGGGUGACCGGCCUCCUUGCGCCUACGGUACGGCGCAGACUCCUACGGUAGGCAGCGGUGGGGAAUAUUGCGCAAUGGGCGGAAGCCUGAUGCAGCAACGCCGCGUGCGUAAUGACGGCCUUCGGGUUGUAAACCGAUUUCGCCUGUGCCGAAGCGUGAGUGACGGUAAUGGGUAAGGAAGCACCGGCUAACUACGUG
RNAcentral lists this ribosomal RNA (468 nucleotides) under uncultured bacterium. Its description in RNAcentral is "partial 16S ribosomal RNA". It matches the Rfam family "Bacterial small subunit ribosomal RNA", at positions 28 to 507 of the family's 1533-position model. The record is from RNAcentral.